AUGAUGACUGAUAAGUAUGUAAACUUCAUUGACAAAUAUUGCAUGAAUAUGAAAGAAUGAGAACAUGUUAGAGCUCUUCUAUAAAAGCAUGCAAAGCAAACCAUUGAUCAAUUUGCUUGCUGUAUUUUUUUUGGAUGUUUGUAAACAACAGGUAGGUAGUGUGUUUACUAUAUACUGGAAUUUGAUUGGGCAGUAAACAUUAAAUUCAAUUCAUGUCCAAUCAAAUCCCAGUAUAUAUUGAAACUCCACCUACCUAUUGUUUACA
Molecule: long non-coding RNA, 265 nt
Filed under: Mytilus galloprovincialis (Mediterranean mussel)
Lineage: Eukaryota; Metazoa; Mollusca; Bivalvia; Mytilida; Mytilidae
Source: RNAcentral